RNAcentral lists this ribosomal RNA (253 nucleotides) under uncultured bacterium. RNAcentral's name for it is "partial 16S ribosomal RNA". It matches the Rfam family "Bacterial small subunit ribosomal RNA", at positions 524 to 776 of the family's 1533-position model. The record is from RNAcentral.
UACGGAGGGUGCGAGCGUUGUCCGGAAUCAUUGGGCGUAAAGGGCGCGUAGGCGGCUUGGCAAGUGGAAGGUGAAAUCCCUCGGCUUAACCGAGGAACUGCCCUCCAAACUGCUUUGCUUGAGGCCGGGAGAGGUGAGUGGAAUUCCCAGUGUAGCGGUGAAAUGCGUAGAUAUUGGGAGGAACACCAGUGGCGAAGGCGGCUCACUGGACCGGUUCUGACGCUGAGGCGCGAAAGCGUGGGGAGCAAACGGG